UAUCUUUUCCCCUGCAAGUCCUCUCUGGCGAUAUAUACCCGCCCUCUCUGUUCUUCUUUAAUCAAUCUCCUCUGUUUUUUCCACGAAGAGAGAGAGCUCUAGCUCUUCGUCCUCGCAACCCUAUAGUUCUUUCUCGUUCUUCCACUAUUCGUUUCUUCAAUCGCAAUCUUCCCCAGUGAUAUGUUCCAGUCAUAAUUAAUUUGGGUUCCUUACUAGCAAUGGGAUGAUAUCUCUAAAGGGUUUACCAGGCAUGAUGAACCUGUUAAUGGCCGAUCUCAUGUGGUGUUGGCAUUCAUUUGACUUCUCCAGACUAUCUUCUUGAUGAGGUAUAUUGCAUUCAGCUCCUGAUGAAGAGGGCAUCAGGCAUAUUUUUACCUGUAUUUCUAUAAUGGGAAAGACAGAAGUGACUAGUGAUGGUUCAAAGCAGUUUAAGCCAAGUCAGUUGAGUUUGACACUGGAGUAGACACUACUUUAGCCCCGGAAAAAAUAGAUUGUGUGGAGUGCUAAUAUGAUGUCUCACUUGAAACCAGAUAUAGUAAUAAGUUUCAAGUCUCCCACAUUGCAAAUUAUUCAAGAGGAGAAUUAAGUUCUUUAAUGCCAACCACGUCACUGGAUCAGCUUAUCUUUUCUUCGCAUUUUACAUUCUCAACUAUAUUUUUCAAGAAGUUGAAGCACCUGAGUAGUUUACCAGCCUGGCCAUAGGGUCAGAAAGUGUUUUGGUAGGCUUAAUCUAAGUUAAUUUAAAAAAUGUUUGAUUGCAGCAAGAGAAAUUCUGAUUUCUCAGAUGAUACAUGUGGUGAGGCAAACAGCUGGGGACGAGUUGUUGCAUACUUUGGUUAAAUACAACAAAAACAAGUUAUGAAUAGUCUGUAAGUUUGGUAAAGGGAGACACCGUAAUCUAGCAUAUAUCAGCACAGAUGAUCGAAAGCAUGGUUAUAUAGUAAAGGCACACAUCUUUUUCUGACAUGAUGUUGAAACAACUACUGGUGCUCAAAGGCUCUUUUUGUUGUUGCUGGAUUCCUGAAGCCUGAGAGGAUUUCUUCUGUUUCUUGUUCCAGUUGUUCCAUAUGUUUUUUUCUCUUACGACGUUUCGUAUAUGCCA
Tripterygium wilfordii is the source of this 1102-nucleotide long non-coding RNA. RefSeq lists it as uncharacterized. The record is from RefSeq and is a predicted model, not a curated record. The transcript has 5 exons. NCBI's taxonomy places the organism in Eukaryota, Viridiplantae, Streptophyta, Magnoliopsida, Celastrales, Celastraceae.